This 492-nucleotide ribosomal RNA is filed under the name uncultured bacterium. RNAcentral describes it as "partial 16S ribosomal RNA". It matches the Rfam family "Bacterial small subunit ribosomal RNA", at positions 29 to 507 of the family's 1533-position model. The record is from RNAcentral.
AGUGAACGCUGGCGGUAGGCCUAACACAUGCAAGUCGAACGGCAGCACAGUAAGAGCUUGCUCUUACGGGUGGCGAGUGGCGGACGGGUGAGGAAUACAUCGGAAUCUACUUUUUCGUGGGGGAUAACGUAGGGAAACUUACGCUAAUACCGCAUACGACCUACGGGUGAAAGCAGGGGAUCUUCGGACCUUGCGCGAUUGAAUGAGCCGAUGUCGGAUUAGCUAGUUGGCGGGGUAAAGGCCCACCAAGGCGACGAUCCGUAGCUGGUCUGAGAGGAUGAUCAGCCACCCUGGAACAGAGACACGGUCCAGACUCCUACGGGAGGCAGCAGUGGGGAAUAUUGGACAAUGGGCGCAAGCCUGAUCCAGCCAUACCGCGUGGGUGAAGAAGGACUUCGGGUUGUAAAGCCCUUUUGUUGGGAAAGAAAAGCAGCAGGUUAAUACCCCGCUGUUCUGACGGUACCCAAAGAAUAAGCACCGGCUAACUUCGUG